RNAcentral lists this ribosomal RNA (774 nucleotides) under uncultured Neocallimastigales. RNAcentral describes it as "partial large subunit ribosomal RNA". It matches the Rfam family "Eukaryotic large subunit ribosomal RNA", at positions 24 to 645 of the family's 3401-position model. The record is from RNAcentral. Lineage: Eukaryota; Fungi; Neocallimastigomycota; Neocallimastigomycetes; Neocallimastigales.
UAUGUGAUCGUCUCUCGCAUAUCAAUAAGCGGAGGAAAAGAAACUAACAAGGAUUCCCCUAGUAACGGCGAGUGAAGCGGGAAGAGCUCAAAUUUGAAAUCUUAAAGGGUUUCCCUUUACGAAUUGUAGUUUAAAGAAGUGUUUUCUGUUGAGGUUUUGGUAAAAGUUCUUUGGAAUAGGACAUCAUAGAGGGUGAGAAUCCCGUAUUUGACCUUUACUUUCAACUUUGUGAUACACUUUCAAAGAGUCGGAUUGUUUGGGAAUGCAGUCCAAAAUGGGUGGUAAAUUUCAUCUAAAGCUAAAUAUUGGCGAGAGACCGAUAGCGAACAAGUACCGUGAGGGAAAGAUGAAAAGAACUUUGAAAAGAGAGUUAAACAGUACGUGAAAUUGUCAAAAGGGAAGCGUUUGACACCAGUGUUGUUUUUCUGAAAAUCAAUUAAAGAACUGUUUAUGCUAAGCUGUUUAGACUUUAUCAGCUAUCUGUUUAGUUUUGAGCUUUUCUUUAAUGCACUUUUCAGUUAACAAGUCAACAUCAAUUUCUUUUGCUGUAAAAAAGCUUGAGGAAGGUGGCUUGAGAUUCGUCUUAAGUGUUUAUAGCCUCUUGCCUAUGCAGUCGGAGAGAUUGAGGUCUGCAGCGUAGAUCCUUCGGGGCUAAAUGCAUUUGUGCUAAGUUAUAGCAUUUUAUAGACAACUUGUUGACUAUGAUUUGUCUUGUAGCUUACUCGCUUAUGUUAUUUUACCUACGCUUAGGAUGUUGAUCUCUCACAGUCGAGC